GCGGAAUGUCUGAAUGAAAAUUAGGUUAUUUUUUUUGUUGUUGAAAAUUAGGUUAUUUUAAUUAAGGAAGCCUGGAAUGCUGGGAAGGUCCCGGUACCAUCAGCGCCCCCAUCUGCCUUCCUGAGCUUUCUGCUCUACAGGGAGUGAUACUGUCCUCCUGGUUUUCACCCCACAGCGCCCUGUGGGUAAUAAGUGUUUGUUGAGCAGCAGGACCCUGGGAGAGACCGGGCCUCCCAGCACUGCUGGCAUGCUUUUCCUGGGGUCCCUGGAGCCGGGGGAAGGAUCCAGAUGCCACCUCCCCCAGUGACCCAGCUCAGGGUGAGUGUGCUGCCUUCCUGGCUUACUGGACCCUUGGGACUAGGUGCUUGGGAUUCUGGGAGUGGUCAUGUGUACACAGGGACCUAAGGGAUAGAGUUGACCAAUAUCCAAGGUGGAACAGGGUGUGGAGGUGAGUGAUGUGAGGUGCUCUUGUACCAGGCAAAGGGCACACAGCGCCCCAGCAGGGCUCUAGCCCCAUGGGUCUCUCACCAAUGAGGGCAGCUGGUGUGGGCAGGUCUGGAAUGCAGGUGUCCGCCCCAUGCACAGUGGGGUGCUUGGCACCAGAGCAUUCCAUCCUCUUGUGAGGAUCCAGGGAGUAUCAGGAACAAGUGACAUUGGAGCUAGGGGCUGGAAAAUGGGAAG
RNAcentral lists this long non-coding RNA (681 nucleotides) under Vulpes vulpes (red fox). RNAcentral's name for it is "lncRNA (ENSVVUG00000025616.1)". The record is from RNAcentral. Lineage: Eukaryota; Metazoa; Chordata; Mammalia; Carnivora; Canidae.